Molecule: ribosomal RNA, 530 nt
Filed under: uncultured Sordaria
Lineage: Eukaryota; Fungi; Ascomycota; Sordariomycetes; Sordariales; Sordariaceae
Description: SSU rRNA
Rfam family: Eukaryotic small subunit ribosomal RNA
Source: RNAcentral
AAAACCAAUGCCCUUCGGGGCUUCCUGGUGAUUCAUGAUAACUUCUCGAAUCGCACGGCCUUGCGCCGGCGAUGGUUCAUUCAAAUUUCUGCCCUAUCAACUUUCGACGGCUGGGUCUUGGCCAGCCAUGGUGACAACGGGUAACGGAGGGUUAGGGCUCGACCCCGGAGAAGGAGCCUGAGAAACGGCUACUACAUCCAAGGAAGGCAGCAGGCGCGCAAAUUACCCAAUCCCGACACGGGGAGGUAGUGACAAUAAAUACUGAUACAGGGCUCUUUUGGGUCUUGUAAUUGGAAUGAGUACAAUUUAAACCUCUUAACGAGGAACAAUUGGAGGGCAAGUCUGGUGCCAGCAGCCGCGGUAAUUCCAGCUCCAAUAGCGUAUAUUAAGUUGUUGAGGUUAAAAAGCUCGUAGUUGAAACUUGGGCCUGGCUGGCGGGUCCGCCUCACCGCGUGCACUCGUCCGGCCGGGCCUUCCUUCUGAAGAACCUCAUGCCCUUCACUGGGCGUGCUGGGGAACCAGGACUUUAC